GCGUCGCGCGAGGGCGGAGGACGCGAACGCUCGCGGAACCGUGUGAUCGUUCUGAGGGUGUAACGACACCCGUAUGUCAAAUCCUACACUGAUUUAAAUGCCGCCAAACUGUUACUCCGGCGCUAUCUUCACCUGGCCCUUAUUUGUCCCGUGAGCUGAAAGUUCGCUCCUCCUUGACCACGCGUUACCUGACAGGAGUUGAGUUUCACCGAGUAUUGUGGUGAAGGGAGUGUCUCUUUUCAGCUUGGGAACACCGCUUAAUUCUUUCAGCCUCAAUACGUUCAUCUGUUCUAAAGCCAUCUCUGUCAGUAUCUUUUCCUCAUUCGUACACAGAGCUCCAGCAUGUCCGUUCCUGCCGGUGACGAUGGCGGUGCAUCUCGCCAUCUGAUUGCGUGCGUCGAAAAGAUAUGCAGAUAUGGAAGAUGUGUGCUGAUGGACGGGAAGCCCACCUGCGAGUGUCAGCUGGGCUACGUUGGAGAGUCCUGUAGCGAAACGGUAAAUGACGCUCUGUCUGUACCUCUCACCCUCGGCGUCAUUGCGUUCAUCGUUGGCGUUAUCAUCAUGUUCUUUGGCGUGGCUUUUAUCCGGCAAAGGCUAAAGGCGAAGAAGAGACAAAAGGCAGCCGAGGAAGCCCUGUUGAGAAAUGGAGCGCACCCUUAGCAUGCUUUUAAUGCAGCGUGCCAUAAAAUAGUACCGUCAACACUUUCCACCGUGACACUUAACUCACACUUCGCGUGAUGUUAGGCUUCUUUAUAUAUGUAGGACUGAACGCAUUCGACGUUAACCGAAAGCUGUUGUUUAUGAAAUCCGUGAAGUCUGCAGCACGUCUGAAUGAUUGUAGAACAUGGAGAGGAGAUACGUGUAAAUCACGUUAGACGAGCAUGGACUGGUUCCUCAAACAUGCCAGGUAUUUCAGUGCUGCUUCUUCUGCUGUUAUUUUUAGCUCGGUCCUGACUGGCGAGUUUCAAUAACUGAAAGCCGAAUAGUUUCACGGACUGAUAAGACACAGACUGGUAUCUUUUUCAAGCAUUUAUGGAAAACAUGCGUGCCAUUUUUUUUAUGGGUUGGGUUGAGUUUAUUUUUGCUUUUGUAGUUUCACGACAGCUUUGAAUUCAACCUUUUUAGCUUUUUAGCCUUAUUCAGCUGUUAACAUGACUGUCUGUACAGUAUUUUUCAAUAAAGAUAUUUUUUCAUUUGCUUCUA
Puntigrus tetrazona (Sumatra barb) is the source of this 1203-nucleotide long non-coding RNA. RefSeq lists it as uncharacterized. The record is from RefSeq and is a predicted model, not a curated record. NCBI's taxonomy places the organism in Eukaryota, Metazoa, Chordata, Actinopteri, Cypriniformes, Cyprinidae. The transcript has 4 exons.